UACUAUAGCUUGACACUGAACAUUGAGCCUUGAUGUGUAGGAUAGGUGGGAGGCUUUGAAGUGUGGACGCCAGUCUGCAUGGAGCCGACCUUGAAAUACCACCCUUUAAUGUUUGAUGUUCUAACGUUGACCCGUAAUCCGGGUUGCGGACAGUGUCUGGUGGGUAGUUUGACUGGGGCGGUCUCCUCCUAAAGAGUAACGGAGGAGCACGAAGG
Molecule: ribosomal RNA, 215 nt
Filed under: Escherichia coli
Lineage: Bacteria; Pseudomonadati; Pseudomonadota; Gammaproteobacteria; Enterobacterales; Enterobacteriaceae
Description: partial 23S ribosomal RNA
Rfam family: Bacterial large subunit ribosomal RNA
Source: RNAcentral